GACGAACGCUGGCGGCGUGCUUAACACAUGCAAGUCGAGCGAUGAAGCACCUUCGGGUGUGAAUUAGCGGCGAACGGGUGAGGAACACGUGAGAAAUCUGCCUUCAACUCUGGGAUAACUCCGUGAAAACGGGGCUAAUACCGGAUAUGAAACCUGCGGGCAUCCGCGGGUUUGGAAAGUUUUUCGGUUGAAGAUGAUCUCGCGGCCUAUCAGCUUGUUGGUGAGGUAAUGGCUCACCAAGGCGACGACGGGUAGCCGGCCCGAGAGGGCGACCGGCCACACUGGGACUGAGACACGGCCCAGACUCCUACGGGAGGCAGCAGUGGGGAAUAUUGGGCAAUGGAGGAAACUCUGACCCAGCGACGCCGCGUGCGGGAUGAAGGCCUUCGGGUUGUAAACCGCUUUCAGCAGGGAAGAAGCGAAAGUGACGGUACCUGCAGAAGAAGCACCGGCUAACUAUGUGCCAGCAGCAGCCGCCG
RNAcentral lists this ribosomal RNA (479 nucleotides) under uncultured bacterium. Its description in RNAcentral is "partial 16S ribosomal RNA". It matches the Rfam family "Bacterial small subunit ribosomal RNA", at positions 28 to 523 of the family's 1533-position model. The record is from RNAcentral.